GGAUCCAGUAGUUGGGUCAUGUGACUGGUCAGGAUCCAGUAGUUGGGUCAUGUGACUGGUCAGGAUCCAGUAGUUGGGUCAUGUGACGGUCAGGAUCCAGUAAUUGGGUCAUGUGACGGGUCAGGAUCCAGUAGUCGGGUCAUGUGACGGUCAGGAUCCAGUAGUUGGGUCAUGUGAUGGGUCAGGAUCCAGUAGUUGGGUCAUGUGACGGGUCAGGAUCCAGUAGUUGGGUCAGGAUCCAGUAGUUGGGUCAUGUGACGGGUCAGGAUCCAGUAGUUGGGUCAUGUGACGGGUCAGGAUCCAGUAGUUGGGUCAUGUGACGGUUCAGGAUCCAGUAGUUGGGUCAGGUGACGGGUCAGGAUCCAGUAGUUGGGUCAUGUGACGGGUCAGGAUCCAGUAGUUGGGUCAUGUGACGGGUCAGGAUCCAGUAGUUGGGUCAUGUGACGGGUCAGGAUCCAGUAGUUGGGUUAUGUGACGGGUCAGGAUCCAGUAGUUGGGUCAUGUGACGGGUCAGGAUCCAGUAGUUGGGUCAUGUGACGGUCAGGAUCCAGUAGUUGGGUCAUGUGACGGGUCAGGAUCCAGUAGUUGGAUCAUGUGACGGGUCAGGAUCCAGUAGUUGGGUCAUGUGACGGUCAGGAUCCAGCAGGUGGAGCUCAGGGCGGGUUCUCUCCGCUGAGCGGCGCUCCGAUACGUCUGAAUGUUUCCUGCUGAGUCGGCGUGGAAAGAGCAGCUGACUGCAGCUCGUUUGCUGAGGAGCUGCAGCCGGAUAACUCCCCCGCACCGUUUGU
Fundulus heteroclitus (mummichog) is the source of this 788-nucleotide long non-coding RNA. RefSeq lists it as uncharacterized. The record is from RefSeq and is a predicted model, not a curated record. The transcript is spliced from 4 exons. NCBI's taxonomy places the organism in Eukaryota, Metazoa, Chordata, Actinopteri, Cyprinodontiformes, Fundulidae.